This 73-nucleotide transfer RNA is filed under the name Boulengerella maculata (spotted pike-characin). Its description in RNAcentral is "tRNA-Leu". Lineage: Eukaryota; Metazoa; Chordata; Actinopteri; Characiformes; Ctenoluciidae. The record is from RNAcentral.
GCUUUCAUAGGAUAACAGCUCAUCCGUUGACCUUAGGAGUCAAUAAUUCUUGGUGCAAAUCCAAGUGAAAGCU